This 490-nucleotide ribosomal RNA is filed under the name uncultured bacterium. RNAcentral describes it as "partial 16S ribosomal RNA". It matches the Rfam family "Bacterial small subunit ribosomal RNA", at positions 28 to 507 of the family's 1533-position model. The record is from RNAcentral.
GAUGAACGCUAGCUACAGGCUUAACACAUGCAAGUCGCGGGGCAGCAUGGGGGUUGCUUGCAAUCCCCGAUGGCGACCGGCGCACGGGUGAGUAACGCGUAUCCAACCUGCCCUUCACCACGGGAUAACCCGGCGAAAGUCGGACUAAUACCGUAUGUUGUCCAUUGACGGCAUCCGAUUUGGACGAAAGGCUUGGCGGUGAGGGAGGGGGAUGCGUGCGAUUAGCGCGACGGCGGGGUGAAGGCGCACCGUGGCUACGAUCGGUAGGGGUUCUGAGAGGAAGGUCCCCUACAAUGGAACUGAGGCACGGUCCAGACUCCUACGGGAGGCAGCAGUGAGGAAUAUUGGUCAAUGGGCGUAAGCCUGAACCAGCCAAGUAGCGUGCAGGAUGACGGCCCUAUGGGUUGUAAACUGCUUUUAUGCGGGGAUAAAGUGGCCCACGUGUGGGAUUUUGCAGGUACCGAAUGAAUAAGGACCGGCUAAUUCCGUG